GCUGGCGGCACGCCUAACACAUGCAAGUCGAACGCAGUAGCAAUACUGAGUGGCAAACGGGUGAGUAUAAUGUGGGAAUCUGCCUUUUGGUUUGGAAUAACACGGGGAAACUUGUGCUAAUACCGAAUAAGCCCUUACGGGGAAAGUUUUAACGCCGAAAGAUGAGCCCGCACUUGAUUAGCUAGUUGGUAAGGUAAAAGCUUACCAAGGCAACGAUCAAUAGCUGUUCUUAGAGGAAGACCAGCCACAUUGGGACUGAGACACGGCCCAGACUCCUACGGGAGGCAGCAGUGGGGAAUCUUGCACAAUGGGGGAAACCCUGAUGCAGCGAUGCCGCGUGAGUGAAGAAGGCCUUUGGGUUGUAAAACUCUUUCGUCGGGGAAGAAAAUGACUGUACCCGAAUAAGAAGGUCCGGCUAACUUCGUGCCAGCAGCCGCGGUAAUACGAAGGGACCUAGCGUAGUUCGGAAUUACUGGGCUUAAAGAGCUCGUAGGUGGUUAAAAAAGUUGAUGGUGAAAUCCCAAGGCUCAACCUUGGAACUGCCAUCAAAACUUUUUAGCUAGAGUGUGAUAGAGGUAAGUGGAAUUUCUAGUGUAGAGGUGAAAUUCGUAGAUAUUAGAAAGAACACCAAAUGCGAAGGCAACUUACUGGGUCACUACUGACACUGAGGAGCGAAAGCAUGGGUAGCGAAGAGGAUUAGAUACCCUCGUAGUCCAUGCCGUAAACGAUGUGUGCUAGACGUUGGAAAUAUAUUUUUCAGUGUCGCAGCGAAAGCAUUAAGCACACCGCCUGGGGAGUACGACC
RNAcentral lists this ribosomal RNA (804 nucleotides) under uncultured Pelagibacteraceae bacterium. RNAcentral describes it as "bacterial SSU rRNA". It matches the Rfam family "Bacterial small subunit ribosomal RNA", at positions 35 to 887 of the family's 1533-position model. The record is from RNAcentral. Lineage: Bacteria; Pseudomonadati; Pseudomonadota; Alphaproteobacteria; Candidatus Pelagibacterales; Candidatus Pelagibacteraceae.